This 2329-nucleotide long non-coding RNA is filed under the name Physcomitrium patens. Its description in RNAcentral is "long non-coding RNA (PPAT_LNC011610)". Lineage: Eukaryota; Viridiplantae; Streptophyta; Bryopsida; Funariales; Funariaceae. The record is from RNAcentral.
UAUUACAUGCUGAUUUAUGUGGACCAUUGCCGGUGGCGUCAUUAUCAAGUACAAAAUAUUUUCUGCUCGUAAUUGAUGAAUACUCUAGGAAAAUGUGGAUUUGCUUUCUUAAAAACAAAAGCCAAACUUUGGUAAAUUUGUUGAAUUUAAAACUAUGAUUGAAAGACAAACAGAAAAAACUAAUCAAGGAGAUAAGGACGGAAAAAUGGAAAAGAAUUUACUUCUUGAACUAUUGGUUAAAAUAUGGCAUUACAAGACAUUAUACAUAGCCUUACACACCCCAACAAAAUGGGGUAGUUGAAAGAAGAAAUUGCUCUACCAUGGAAAAAGUUCAAAGUACGCUACUGCAUUGAAAAUUGUCCACUUAUUUAUGGCCAAAAGCAGCAAAAAUGGCAGUAUAUUUAUUAAAUAGACAACCUACGCAUGUGAAAUUUUAAAACAAAUCUUUGGAAGACUUUUUUUCAGGAAAAACCUCAAUUCAACCAUCUGAGGGUUUUUGGUUAUUUAUCUCACAUACUCAUAAGUUGUCAAUGAAGAAAUAAACUGCAAUCAAGAUAAUUAGUUGGCAGUUUUGCGGGCUACGAUGAGAAAAUUAAAGCAUACAUGAUAUUCUUGCAUCAUUCACCCAAAAUUAUAUUGUCCAAAGACGUCUUUUUUUAAAAAUCCAAGCUCGUGGACUAUGAAAAAUAUAACCAGAAGAACAAUUAUGAAUACGCUUCACUGGAAUAUCUCGAAUCUGGGAAUCCAUACAUAAAUGCCCUUUCCCGCUAACGGAGGAGCCCACAUAGACCUCGACAUCAGUAAUCCUGUGCCAAAUUGAGCCUAUUCAAAUGACGACAAAAGCAAUGGAGACUCUGCCAAUCUCAGUGACCAGCAAAAGACGAAGCAUCAACUAUUUCGGGCAGCAAUAAAAAUAAAAAUAAAAAUAAAAUAUCCGAGAAGAGAAAAUAAGUUAUUGGUCUAUCUAAUAUAUGACAUAUUAUUAUUUGAAGGUUCUGAUUUGCGUAGCUCUAACCAAAAUUCAUCAAUUCCAAUAUGGACAACUCCUACCGGAACAAGAGCAAGGAAAUUAACCCAGCAUCGUAGCAUCUCACAAGUCUUCCAUUAGGUGAAUCUGCAAUUUACACAAAAUGGAUCUAUAAAGCAAAAUUAAACAUAUAUGGGUCACUUCAAUAACAUAGCAUUAAAUUAGUUGCUAGAGGAUUUGAACAAAAGGAGGGAAUUGACUACGAAGAAACAUUUGUACCAAUGGUAAAAUGGGCAAUCAUUAGAGCCAUGAUGUUGGUUGCCACUCAAAAAAAUUGGAAAUUAUCUCAAAUGGAUGUCAAAAUGGUAUUUCUUCGUGAAGAAUUAAAAGAAGAAGUUUAUGUAACCCAACUCCAAGGUUUUGAAGUACCAGGCAAGGAACAAAUGGUAUGUAGAGUAUAUAAGGCAUUAUAUGGAUUAAAGCACAUAUAUUAUAAAAAAAUAGAUUCUUACCUAAAAAAAAGUAGGUUCUCAACAAGGCAAUGGAUUUAAAUCAUUAUGAAUCUAUAUGUAGAUGAUCUCAUCAUGAUGGAAAACUGCACAUAAAAUCUCAUCAAAUUCAAGAAAGAAUUACAUGAAAAAUUUGAAAUGUCAAAAUUGUUAGAAAAAGGAAGUUACUCUAUAUUUAGAAACAAAAUACAGACAAAUAAAAGAAGGAAUACUUGUGAUCCGAAAGGCUUAAGCACAAAAUAUAUUGAUAAAUUCAGGGAUGGAAAACUAAGCACCUGCAACAACUUCUAUGGAUAAGAAAAGAAAACUGAAAAUAGAUAUGGAGGAAGAAGAAGUGGAUCCUACACAAUAUUGUAGUAGCGUAGGAAAAUGUCUAGAUUUGACCCACAUUCAACCAGACAUACAAUUUGCAAUAGAAGUUAUAAGUAGAUUUAUGGCAAGACCUCAACAAUCUCAUUUAUUAGUAGCCAAAAGAAUAUUAUGUUACAUUAAGGGCACUCAAAAUUAUGAAAUAUUACAUCAAAAUGACAACUAAGAAAAUCUUUUAAUUACAAACACUCACCACAAAAGAUAAUAGCGCCCUAUUCACGUAAUGGAUGGAUUGACAUUGCAGCAAUAGUUUGUAUUUUAUCAGAGAAGACACCCUGGCAAUCUCAAAAACAGGAGGAGUAACCAAGCAAACAAAGUUGACCGGCGAAUCGUGACGGCGCUCCUAGAAUAAUGCCAUUACUGCUUGUCACAAAAUCAGAGCAAUGGAAACUCGGAAUUCAGAAUUAGCUUCGAACGGCACCACUGAAAUUAGAACUUGAAAGAAACCCUUCGAGAUUGUCUCGACGCAAAACGGUGGAAGUUC